GAAAGUCAUAGCCUCACUAGGAUCACUAGGAUGCAACGUUCAGUUUGAGAAGUAACAUAUGAAGGGGUCAUUGAAGCAUUCGCUCAGCCGAUUCAUUCAGACGAUGGACUCAUUUGAGAACUAAUCACUGUGUUGCGAAGAGGCGCAACGGCUCUGCUGUGAAUUGGUUUGAAACUAGCCUAUUUUCGUCGACUAUAGAGCAAAAUCGGACAAUACUGUGUCUAAAAUCAGAACUACCACACAACAAUCACAAUUCACACUUGAAGGGAGAGGACAGUGAGAACACGAGGGAUCCAAAACCCUGCAGAGUGAAACAGCAUGAUACUGAAGAACAAAGAGAAUCACUCUAGGGCAGUGGUUCUCAACCGGGGGCCCACUAGGGAGCCUCAGGAAACUUCCAAAUUGGCCUUAAGAUGAUGGAAAAAAAAGGCCCUUUCACACAAAACACGAACUGAACCAGUGUAUUCAUUCCUAUAAAUCCAUUCAUACCAGGC
Molecule: long non-coding RNA, 494 nt
Filed under: Sinocyclocheilus anshuiensis
Lineage: Eukaryota; Metazoa; Chordata; Actinopteri; Cypriniformes; Cyprinidae
Description: lncRNA (ENSSANG00000044437.1)
Source: RNAcentral